This 494-nucleotide ribosomal RNA is filed under the name uncultured bacterium. RNAcentral's name for it is "partial 16S ribosomal RNA". It matches the Rfam family "Bacterial small subunit ribosomal RNA", at positions 28 to 507 of the family's 1533-position model. The record is from RNAcentral.
GACGAACGCUGGCGGCGUGCUUAACGCAUGCAAGUCGAACGGUGAAGCGCCUUCCUUUUUGGUGGGUGUGGAUGAGUGGCGAACGGGUGAGUAACACGUGAGUAACCUGCCCCCUUCUUCUGGAUAACCGCAUGAAAGUGUGGCUAAUACGGGAUAUUCUGGGUCUGUCGCAUGAUGGGUCUGGGAAAGAUAUUGUUUCGGUGGGGGAUGGGCUCGCGGCCUAUCAGCUUGUUGGUGGGGUGAUGGCCUACCAAGGCGGUGACGGGUAGCCGGCCUGAGAGGGUGGACGGUCACACUGGGACUGAGACACGGCCCAGACUCCUACGGGAGGCAGCAGUGGGGAAUAUUGCACAAUGGGCGCAAGCCCGAUGCAGCGACGCCGCGUGAGGGAUGGAGGCCUUCGGGUUGUGAACCUCUUUCGCCAGUGAAGCAGGCCUGCCUCGUUUGUGGGUGGGUUGACGGUAGCUGGAUAAGAAGCGCCGGCUAACUACGUG